GGUAAUCUGAGUGCAGUGGUAUUCACAACUAGUUGAUCAUAACCAGUUACAGAUUCCUUUGUUCCUUCUCCACUCUUACUGCUUCACUUGACUAGCCUUUU
Molecule: unclassified non-coding RNA, 101 nt
Organism: Colobus angolensis palliatus
Lineage: Eukaryota; Metazoa; Chordata; Mammalia; Primates; Cercopithecidae
Rfam family: Y RNA
About the family: Y RNAs are components of the Ro ribonucleoprotein particle (Ro RNP), in association with Ro60 and La proteins. The Y RNAs and Ro60 and La proteins are well conserved, but the function of the Ro RNP is not known.
Source: Ensembl